UAUUUCUGAUGAGAUUAUUCCAAGGUAAUUUUUUUUAAAUUGAUAUUCAUUACAACAGAAUUAGGUUAUAGGGACACAUAUUUGGGACACUUUUGAGUAAGUAUCCCAUUUAUGCUAAAAUUUAAAAAACAUCUACUAAUGCCUAAAUAUAAAGCCCAAUCCAAUCAAAAAUAAAAGAGUACUCUACUCAACCCACCACACCCAGUCCAUUUGGCCCGAUUACAAACAAAAAAGAAAAACAAAAAGAAAAAUAAAUUACCAUCUUUUCUUUUCUAUUCACUCAAUCUACUGAAAUUCUAGACGAAGAGCCUUUCCUGUCGUCCUCCUCCGCCACCGCAGCCAACGAGAUAGAGUUUCGGCGGUUGCUAAAUGCUUAAAUAAGUGUUGGUAAAUUAGCAGCACUCUUUUAGGUUAUAGCGACACUCUUUAACUGUCACUAUAUACCUAGCGACCCCACAUAUAGCAACACUUUUUAAAAGUGUCGGUAAUUUUAGCUAGCAGCACUUUUUUGACAUGUACCUACAUUUAAAAGUGUCGCUAUACACCG
This 547-nucleotide long non-coding RNA is filed under the name Ananas comosus (pineapple). Its description in RNAcentral is "long non-coding RNA (ACOM_LNC008596)". The record is from RNAcentral. Lineage: Eukaryota; Viridiplantae; Streptophyta; Magnoliopsida; Poales; Bromeliaceae.